Molecule: long non-coding RNA, 1794 nt
Filed under: Carica papaya (papaya)
Lineage: Eukaryota; Viridiplantae; Streptophyta; Magnoliopsida; Brassicales; Caricaceae
Description: long non-coding RNA (CPAP_LNC012861)
Source: RNAcentral
UACCCUAAACCAAAUUACCACGACACACCACUGCCAAUACCAAAUGACGACAUAGUAAACACACCUGAAAACUAGCCACAAAGAAGAGAAGAAAUUCCUUUACCAACCAGCACUCCCCAAGAACCUGAAGUGAGGAGGAGCAUCAGGGUGAAAAACAAGCCUGCCUGGAUGGAAGACUCUGUCGCCUACACCAAUGAACAACCUAUGCCUGAGCUUCCUUUCCUCAUGUCCACCUCACCUACAUACAACCACGACUAUGUUAAUUUUAUUGCACAAGUGUCUAUUGCCAAAGAACUAAUGUCAUACAGGGAUGUUAAAGAGGACAGCAAGUGGGUUGAGGCCAUGCAGGCCGAACUGUCCGCACUGGAAGAAAAUAGAACAUGGGAACUAACUGCAAUACCAACAAGAAAGAAAACAAUUGACUCAAAAUGGGUAUACAAAAUAAAAUACAAUGUCGAUGGAUUAGUUGAUAAAUACAAAGCAAGACUUGUAGCUAAAGGUUACAAUCAGGAGUUCGGCAUAGACUAUCAUGAUAGCUUCUCACUAGUGGUCAAAAUGGUCACGGUUCGGUUACUUUUAGUCGUGGCAGUCGCAAGUGAUUGGCUAGUAUACCAGUUAGACAUCAACAACGCAUACUUACAUGGUUUUAUGGAAGAAGAGCUAUAUUUAAAACCUCCAGAGGGCUACUUUAAGGCUAGUAAAAAGCAAGUAUGUCGUCUAACCAAGAGCCUAUACAGCCUAAAACAAGUGGGCCACCAGUGGAACAAGGAGUUUACCUCAAAGCUUCAAUCUAUCGACUUCACCAAGUCAGAAGCUGACCACUGUCUAUUCGCAAAAGGAACAAAAGGAAACCACGUUGUAGUUGUGAUGUAUGUUGAUGACUUACUUGUCACGGUUCCUAAUGAAGAAGAGAUUUACGGAAUCAAAAGCGCCUUGAAUGAAGUCUUCACAGUCAAGGACCUCGACCAAGCAAGAUACUUUCUUGGAGUCGAAAUAGCUAGGUCAAAAGAAGGAAUCUACAUCAGUAAAAAAAAAUACACCAGAGAUAUUUUGCAAGAUACAAAGAUGAAAGAUGCAAAAGGAGCCACUUUCCCCUGCCUUCCAGCCUAAAACUAAAUACAAAGGAAGAGAGAUCUUACCAGAUCCAGAGAGAUAUAGAUGUCUAAUUGGCCGUUUACUUUAUCUUAAUUUCACCAGGCCCGAUAUUCCACUCAACAUCUCAGUCAGUUUAUGCAAUAACCCAGAUGGCCACACCUCAACGCCGCACUAUACGUUGUUAGGUACCUAAAGCAAUAUUCAGAGCAAGGCAUCUUCUUCCGAGAAAGAAUGACUUUAAAGUUUAAGCUUUUUAUGAUUCAGACUGGGCAUCGUGUCCGAUAGCCCACAAAUCGCUCAUGGGCUUCUGCAUCUUCCUUGGGCCUACACUGAUCUCCUGAAAAUCAAAGAAACAAGCUACGAUGAGUAAGUCUUCUACAAAGGCUAAAUACAGAAGUAUAUCAUCCACGGUGUGUGAAGUUCAGUGGAUAACCUAUCUACUUCGUGAUUUUUAAAUAACACUCCACUUACCCGUAACAUUGAACUGCGACAACAAAGCAGCCGAGUAUAUCGCAGCAAAUCCAGUUUUUCACGAAAGAACGAAACAUCUUGACAUCAACUGCCACAUAGUACGUAACCAGGUUCCAAAGGGCUUCGUUGAAACAAAUCAUGUCACCUCGAGGGAAUAGCUCGUGGAUUUGCUCACAAAACCCCUUAGGAACUUCAACAAAUCAUCGGCUUCUGUUCAAGAUGAAGCAU